GGCAUGGUGGCUCAGUGGUUAGAGCGCCCGCCUCAUAAACGGGAGGUCGUGGGUUCGAACCCCGGCCGAGUCA
Molecule: transfer RNA, 73 nt
Filed under: Strongylocentrotus purpuratus (purple sea urchin)
Lineage: Eukaryota; Metazoa; Echinodermata; Echinoidea; Camarodonta; Strongylocentrotidae
Description: tRNA-Met
Rfam family: tRNA
About the family: Transfer RNA (tRNA) molecules are approximately 80 nucleotides in length. Their secondary structure includes four short double-helical elements and three loops (D, anti-codon, and T loops).
Source: Rfam by way of RNAcentral